GCCGAAAUGGUCAAAUCGGUUAAGGCGUCGCCCCGGACAGGCGAAAGUUGCGGGUUCAACCCCCGCUCCUGGCC
Molecule: non-coding RNA, 74 nt
Organism: Ixodes scapularis (black-legged tick)
Lineage: Eukaryota; Metazoa; Arthropoda; Arachnida; Ixodida; Ixodidae
Source: Rfam